RNAcentral lists this ribosomal RNA (736 nucleotides) under Levilactobacillus brevis. RNAcentral's name for it is "bacterial SSU rRNA". It matches the Rfam family "Bacterial small subunit ribosomal RNA", at positions 51 to 752 of the family's 1533-position model. The record is from RNAcentral. Lineage: Bacteria; Bacillati; Bacillota; Bacilli; Lactobacillales; Lactobacillaceae.
AUACAUGCAAGUCGAACGAGCUUCCGUUGAAUGACGUGCUUGCACUGAUUUCAACAAUGAAGCGAGUGGCGAACUGGUGAGUAACACGUGGGGAAUCUGCCCAGAAGCAGGGGAUAACACUUGGAAACAGGUGCUAAUACCGUAUAACAACAAAAUCCGCAUGGAUUUUGUUUGAAAGGUGGCUUCGGCUAUCACUUCUGGAUGAUCCCGCGGCGUAUUAGUUAGUUGGUGAGGUAAAGGCCCACCAAGACGAUGAUACGUAGCCGACCUGAGAGGGUAAUCGGCCACAUUGGGACUGAGACACGGCCCAAACUCCUACGGGAGGCAGCAGUAGGGAAUCUUCCACAAUGGACGAAAGUCUGAUGGAGCAAUGCCGCGUGAGUGAAGAAGGGUUUCGGCUCGUAAAACUCUGUUGUUAAAGAAGAACACCUUUGAGAGUAACUGUUCAAGGGUUGACGGUAUUUAACCAGAAAGCCACGGCUAACUACGUGCCAGCAGCCGCGGUAAUACGUAGGUGGCAAGCGUUGUCCGGAUUUAUUGGGCGUAAAGCGAGCGCAGGCGGUUUUUUAAGUCUGAUGUGAAAGCCUUCGGCUUAACCGGAGAAGUGCAUCGGAAACUGGGAGACUUGAGUGCAGAAGAGGACAGUGGAACUCCAUGUGUAGCGGUGGAAUGCGUAGAUAUAUGGAAGAACACCAGUGGCGAAGGCGGCUGUCUAGUCUGUAACUGACGCUGAGGC